RNAcentral lists this unclassified non-coding RNA (1711 nucleotides) under uncultured fungus. Its description in RNAcentral is "sequence contains 18S rRNA gene, ITS1, 5.8S rRNA gene, ITS2, 28S rRNA gene". The stretch from base 732 to 1711 matches the Rfam family "Eukaryotic large subunit ribosomal RNA", at positions 1 to 961 of the family's 3401-position model. Lineage: Eukaryota; Fungi. The record is from RNAcentral.
GGAAGGAUCAUUAACAAAUUCAAAACGCGUGUUGUGUGUGGAAGGGGUGGGUGUGAACGCACCACACGCAAUGCACACACACACAAACACAAACAUUUGAAGAACAAAGAAAGGGACAAACCGAAAGAAUUAGAAACCACUUUUAACAAUGGAUCUCUUGGUUCUUGCAACGAUGAAGAACGCAGCGAACAGCGAAACGUGAUGUGAACUGCAGACUUUGAGAAUCAUCCAAUAUUUGAACGCACAUUGCACCUGGUCACCUAUGUGACAAGGUAUACUUGUUUGAGUAUCCAAAAGGAAAUUUGUUUCGAUUCUCUCAUUUCAAUGGGGAAUGAAGGGAGAGAAAAGAGAUGAAAGAUGAGGGAUCAAUGAUGUGAGAGAUGCGAUUGCAUUUGUGCAAGUUGUAUUGAUUGACUCAUUGUCCGUUUAAAAGUAGGACGAUAUUGAUGCAAGAGAUACACAUUUUUGUUUCAUGGAAAAAGGAUUGUUGGUUAAAAACGAUCUUGUUUCUAAUGAAAAGGAUUUGAUUUUUCAAACACGAGAUUUCUUCAUGAUUGGAAGAAUCUCACAAACCAUCGGGAUAACAUCCUGACGAUCGUUUGUUGAAAAGUGUUUGAAAUCGUUUUUAAAUGUGUAUGAAUUGAGAAUGAGUCCAAAAGAGGAGAGGGGAGGAGAAUGUGAAAACAUUUAUAUUCCGCCAAUCCAAGAAAUGUGUAAUCUAUUUUGAAGAUGGAUCUCAAAUCAAGUAAGGAUACCCGCUGAACUUAAGCAUAUUAGUAAGUGGAGGAAAAGAAACUAACAAGGAUUCCCAGAGUAACGGCGAGUGAAAGGGGAAGAGCUCAAAUUUGAAAUCUGGUAUUUUGUAAAAAGUAUCCGAAUUGUGAUUGAGAAAGUUCACUUGAAUUGAAGGAUGAAUUAAUCAAAGUUCUCUGGAAAGGGACAACAAAGAGGGUGAAAUUCCCGUUUGGAUUCAAUUGAUUCAUCAAAAGGAGAGAACUUGAAGAGUCGGAUUGUUUGGGAAUGCAGUCCAAAAAGGGUGGUACAUUUCAUCUAAAGCUAAAUAUAGGCAAGAGACCGAUAGUGAACAAGUACCGUGAGGGAAAGAUGAAAAGAACUUUGAAAAGAGAGUUAAAUAGGACGUGAAAUUGUUAAAAGGGAAACGAUUGAGACCAGGGAUGCGAUCCAUUUUUGAGUAUACUUUUUGGAGUGUACGUAUGAGUGGAUGGCGAGUUGACGGACCUUUUUAACUUUGGAAAAGACAAGAGGAAAAGUGGCAUUGACUUUUGAAGUGAAUUGCUUUAUAGACCUUUUGGGAUACAAAGUAAAAGAGGGAGACAAGUAGGAUUUCCUUGAGGGGAAUAUUCACGUUGACGAAAUGGUCUUAAACGACCCGUCUUGAAACACGGACCAAGGAGUCUAACGACUAUGCGAGUAUUUGAGUGGGAUAAAUUCGAAUGCGAAAAGAAAAUGAAAGCGUGGGAAUCAGUCAUUGAAGACAAAGAUGCACCAUGAACCGGUUCCAAGUUUUAAAAACAGGGAUUGAGUGAGAGCAUACGUGUUAGGACCCGAAAGAUGGUGAACUAUGCCUGAAUAGGGUGAAGCCAGGGGAAACUCUGGUGGAGGCUCGUAGACAUUCUGACGUGCAAAUCGAUGUUCAAAUUUGGGUAUAGGGGCGAAAGACUAAUCGAACCAUCUAGUAGCUGGUUCCCUU